RNAcentral lists this ribosomal RNA (240 nucleotides) under uncultured Rhodococcus sp. RNAcentral's name for it is "partial 16S ribosomal RNA". It matches the Rfam family "Bacterial small subunit ribosomal RNA", at positions 961 to 1202 of the family's 1533-position model. Lineage: Bacteria; Bacillati; Actinomycetota; Actinomycetes; Mycobacteriales; Nocardiaceae. The record is from RNAcentral.
GCGAAGAACCUUACCUGGGUUUGACAUACACCAGAUCGCCUCAGAGAUGGGGUUUCCCUUGUGGCUGGUGUGCAGGUGGUGCAUGGCUGUCGUCAGCUCGUGUCGUGAGAUGUUGGGUUAAGUCCCGCAACGAGCGCAACCCUUAUCCUGUGUUGCCAGCACGUGAUGGUGGGGACUCGCAGGAGACUGCCGGGGUCAACUCGGAGGAAGGUGGGGACGACGUCAAGUCAUCAUGCCCCU